This 1527-nucleotide ribosomal RNA is filed under the name Paenibacillus larvae. Its description in RNAcentral is "bacterial SSU rRNA". It matches the Rfam family "Bacterial small subunit ribosomal RNA". The record is from RNAcentral. Lineage: Bacteria; Bacillati; Bacillota; Bacilli; Caryophanales; Paenibacillaceae.
UUAUUGGAGAGUUUGAUCCUGGCUCAGGACGAACGCUGGCGGCGUGCCUAAUACAUGCAAGUCCAGGCGGUAGCAGCAAACCGCUGGGAACGCCAGGUUAGCGGCGGACGGGUGAGUAACACGUAGGCAACCUGCCUGUAAGACCGGGAUAACUUGCGGAAACGUGAGCUAAUACCGGAUAGCUGGUUUCUUCGCAUGAAGUCAUGAAAGACGGGGCAACCUGUCACUUACAGAUGGGCCUGCGGCGCAUUGGCUAGUUGGUAGGGUAACGGCUUGCAAGGCGACGAUGCGUAGCCGACCUGAGAGGGUGAACGGCCACACUGGGACUGAGACACGGCCCAGACUCCUACGGGAGGCAGCAGUAGGGAAUCUUCCGCAAUGGACGAAAGUCUGACGGAACAACGCCGCGCGUGAGUGAUGAAGAUUUUCGGAUCGUAAAGGCUCUGUUGCCAAGGAAAGGCGGCCAGGGGAGUAACUCCCCUGGAGUGACGGUACUUGAAGAAAGCUGCGGCUAACCGUUGCGCUUAUGCGGUAAUACGUAGGGGGCAAGCGUUGUCAGAUUAUUGGGCGUAAAGCGCGCGCAGGCGGUCUUUUAAGUCUGGUGUGCAAGCGGGGCUCAACCCCGGUUCGCACUGGAAACUGGGAGACUUGAGUGUAGGAGAGGAAAGUGGAAUUCCACGUGUAGCGGUGAAAUGCGUAGAGAUGUGGAGGAACACCAGUGGCAGAAACUUUCUACAGCUAUAACUGACGCUGAGGCGCGAAAGCGUGGGGCAAACAGGAUUAGAUACCCUGGUAGUCCACGCCGUAAACGAUGAAUGCUAGGUGUUAGGGGUUCCGAUACCCUUGGUGCCGAAGUUAACGUCGCCUUCCGCCUGAGUACGGUCGCAAGACUGAAACUCAAAGGAAUUGACGGGGACCCGCACAAGCAGUGGAGUAUGGUUUAAUUCGAAGCAACGCGAAGAACCUUACCAGGCCUUGACAUCCCUCUGGCCGGUUUAGAGAUAGAUCUUUUCCUUCAGGGAUUAGAGGAGACAGGUGGUGCAUGGUUGUCGUCAAUGUCGUGAGAUGUUGGGUUAAGUCCACAUGUGAGCUGCUCCCUUGAUCUUAGUUGCCAGCACGCAGAGGUGGGCACUCUAAGAUGACUGCCGGUGACAAACCGGAGGAAGGUGGGGAUGACGUCAAAUCAUCAUGCCCUUAUGGCCUGGGCUACGCACACGUACUACAAUGGUCGGUACAACGGGAAGCGAAGGGAGCGAUCGAGCCAAUCCUCAAAAGCCGAUCUCAGUUCGGAUUGCAGGCUGCAACUCGCCUGCAUGAAGUCGGAAUUGCCCCAAUAAUCGCGGAUCAGCAUGCCGCGGUGAAUACGUUCAGGUCUUGUACACACCGCCCGUCACACCACGAGAGUUUACAACACCCCUGAAGUCGGUGGUAACCGCAAGGGGCCAGCCGCCGAAGGUGGGGUAGAUGAUUGGGGUGAAGUCGUAACAAGGUAGCCGUAUCGGAAGGUGCGGCUGGAUCACCUCCUUU